UNGGCUUGACGGUGCUUAUGCUUAGACAU
This 29-nucleotide non-coding RNA is filed under the name Mus musculus (house mouse). Lineage: Eukaryota; Metazoa; Chordata; Mammalia; Rodentia; Muridae. The record is from RNAcentral.